Long non-coding RNA from Hippocampus zosterae (dwarf seahorse), 112 nucleotides. RefSeq lists it as uncharacterized. Lineage: Eukaryota; Metazoa; Chordata; Actinopteri; Syngnathiformes; Syngnathidae. The record is from RefSeq and is a predicted model, not a curated record. The transcript has 2 exons.
AUAUAGUAAGGCGCAUUUUUAGACGAAAAAAACGACCAUGUAUAGUAAGGCGUUUUUGGACGAAAUUUUUAGCCGAGAAAAAACAACCAUGUAUAGGAAGGCCUUUUUAGCC